ACAUUUUGGUUUUCCCCCAAAGUCAAUUUCCCAAUUUCAAAUUAGGUUUCACCAAAAUCAGUUUUCCUCCCCAAUCGUUUGAUAUUCUCUCCUUCCUAAUCUUCUAUCAAUUUCGUUCCCCAAAUUGCGAUAACUGUUCUCUUCCCCUCUGUCUGAUUUCCGAGCAGCAACAAAUCACCACUAUUGUUCAAGUCGUACCUUCCUAUUAGUUGUUGCAGUUCGUUUGUGUUUCCAUAAGUGGGGUUACCGUUUAUCCUCUGUUUUGUUUGCGAAGCUAGUUUCACACUAGGGGUUGUGAUGGGUUAGGAAGUCAAGUUGCAGAUAAUCAGUAAACUAUUCGAGUAUAUUGGAAGUAAUUUUGAUCAUUUGAUUAAGCCACAUGCUGAGUUUAUAUGCCAGAGCAUGUUAUGACUUUCUUGCUUGCUGAACUGGGUACAAGUGGAUCCCUUGACGGGCAGCAAAGACCGGUAGUGAAGGGUAGAUUUGCACCGGAAAAAUUUGAAGGAAUUCUCAUUGGAUAUAUGAGUAUGUUAUCUGCAAUGGUUGCAAGAGCCUGGAUACAAUUCUUUUGAAGAAGAACCAUCUUUUCUUCGUCAGGUAAAAGAUGUUGGUUUUUUGUCUAUCUGUUAGGUGUUCGGCCCAUGAGCGGGAUUUGGUGUUGUAUCACUUGAUAUCAUGAAAAGCUUUGGAGCUAAGUUUAAAGAUAGUGAAUUCUCACCCAAAAGAACGUUUAGACUCUUUGUGUAAACAUUUAGAAUUUGGAAUAUGGUACUUAUUACAUAAUGUUUUGCUAACAUUUGGAAUAUGUUUUGGAUCGAACUUAUUAUUGAAGUUAUAAUAUUAUGAUUUCUACAUUUACAUUUUUA
Helianthus annuus (common sunflower) is the source of this 866-nucleotide long non-coding RNA. RefSeq lists it as uncharacterized. The record is from RefSeq and is a predicted model, not a curated record. NCBI's taxonomy places the organism in Eukaryota, Viridiplantae, Streptophyta, Magnoliopsida, Asterales, Asteraceae. The transcript has 6 exons.